AGAAUCCAUGCCAGGACACUGCACUGGGUUUCUUGUCUCAUCUGCCCAGUCCGGUCUGCACUGGGUCACACCAUUUCUGAUACCUGCUCUGGGCCAGGGCUAGGACCCAAGAGCCAUGAAGUCCCUUCCUGAAGCGCCCUGUCAAUGUUUGCUGUCUGGAUGGACCCAUCUGUCAGCACACGCCAGCAGCUGUGGAGCAGUAAUGUCUACGUCCCUGGAAUGUGGGCAAGGGUGGCCUUGGGGGGACCUGUGGCAUCCAGGAGACUUGCGCCUCGAUGGCUCGGAUCUCUGGGCUUGUCAGGCAGCUCAGCAUGGCAGUGGUUGGUGGGGAGCUGAGAGGAAUCUGGACAGGCCCUGAACUUGGAAGAAAAAUCAGUGUUUGUCCCGGAGUUUGUUGGAUCAUAAACGUGUCUCAAGUUGCAUGAGCACUUCCUGGCUCCUGCACGGCUCAGGUGAGCUCUGCUGAUUCGGGAAGGGCUUCCCCACGCCCCGAUCACCCGUCAGCAAAAGGAGCCCUGGCAUCUGAUGGGGCUUCUUGUGAUGGUAAAACCCACUCAAAUGACCCACAGCAGGCGAGUGGAGUGGGCUGGCUCCCUCAUUCUUUCAGGCACGCGUAAACUCAACAAAUAGUCCCAUGCUUGCUGUGCCCAGAUGCUGGGCCAGGCUCAGCUGAUGUGGUAGGAGCCAGCCCCCUAGGCCUCUCAACGCACGUCCAGUGUGGAGAGCGACAUUGAUCGGGCAGAUGAAACCAAACCAGGAUAAGGACAGGCUGGGCCCACCCUGUGCUCUGAGUUGAAAGCUGGAAAAGGCACCAAUGAUUUCUACGCCAUAGUUGUUUGACAACCGCAAUCAAAACCACUCACGGAACCAUCCUGUGUCCAGGACAGAGCCCCAAGACCACCUGGGACAGAAAUGCCUCCCGCAGGACUGGCCCCCAAACGACGGCCUCACUUGUCUCGUCUCGGCUCCGAAUCCAGUGUGCACUUGAGCUCAUGGUGGCUGUUCUGUAACUAGCAAGACUGGUGAGAGGGUGACGUUGCCAUUGGUGACCACAGGUAUCCUGGCAGCCUGGUGCAGAAAGGCUACUUCAAGCUCUAACAAGGGCCAGGUUUCCACGGGGACAGCGGAGCCUCAUGUGGCAGGUGUCUUGCUCUGCCCCUGACUAGCUCUGUGGCUUUCUCAGAGCCCCCAGUUUUCCCAUCUGUAAAACAAUGGGAGUGGCCUAGAUGACCUCAGGCCUUUAAGAUGGUGGCAGAUGCCGGCACGUAGCCUUGCUCCUGCUUCCGGUCAUUGGAGCCAGAAACCCAAGUCUGUGGACCCACUUCCCAGGUGGACAGGUCCUCUGUGCCUGGCCCCAGGGAGAACACUUGGCAUGGACCGCAGGGACUGCUCAUCAGCAGUGUGAUGGUCUUCCAAGGCCAGGAGAGCCGGACGAAGCCUGGCUCUGCCAUUUGCUAACUGUGCUACUUCCAGUCAUGUGACUGUACUUCUCUGAGCCCCAAAUACUUGAUUUGCAGCCCCUGGAGAAAAGCAGCACCCACAGCCAUCAGUGUGCUGUCAUAGGGUUGGUGCCCAGCAUUGGCAAACAGCCGGUCAUCCAUAGAGGCUGGUGUCUGAGGGAGUGCCUUGUUCCAUCAGGUCAGCACGACUCAGGUGGGGUUCGAGCUGGACCACAUAGACCCUUGAGCCCUGAAAUCUGCGGUGGGAACUGAGGUGGAGGUGGUCCGAAGCGGGGCCUGGAGCUAAACUGGCAGAGGGAGGAGGCUGAUCAGGGGACAGGCAUCCUAGGCAGGACCAGGGGUGUGGCAGGGAGGCACCAAAGUGUGUGGGCACUUUGUCAAGCCCUCAUGUCAUGCACGGUCUCAUUUGAUCCUCACCGUGACCCCAGAAGGUGGGCGUUGUCAUCCCCACUCUAAGAGGAAGAAGCUCAGUGGGGGGAGGUGACUUCCUGGGUGUCCUGGUGCCAGGAAGUGGUGGCCAGAAUCCCAGUGGGAUGGUCUGAUUCCAGGGCUGGAAUGGGGCAAGCAGAAGUAGUGGGGGUGGGCGGUGUGGGGGUGGUUGUGGGUACCCCAGCCUGAGCCCUGAGCUCCUCACCCCACACACCCUCAGCUCUGAAAACACUGGUCGGUAAAGUGUGACCCACUAGGGUCAUGGGAUCAUUUCAGCUGGUGGCAGCCAUCACCAGGAAGGAAAGAAAUAGGAGAGGGAGCGUCAGAGUUCAUGAUGCCCAGUACAGCAAGUAUUCUUUUGUGAAGACAUUGUUCCCAUCCCACACGUGUAAACAGUUCACUACUUGUAUUUUACAUGCAGCCGUUAUGCUGGUACCAUGUAUUGCUUACCCUGGUCCCAGUCAGCAGGCUUUGAAAGCCACUGCUUUCAGCUUUUCUCUCUUCUGCAGGGCCUCCGGGCCUUUGUUCUCGGAACAAGAACGCCAGUGCUGGGCACAGGACAGGAGCCAGGACGUGCUGGAAGAUUUCCGCGAGUGCCCCUACCCGCAUGACAACGCCGCUGGCUCAGCAAGGUGGUGGUGCCACUGUGUGGGGUCCAAGAACUUGGGGUGUGGAUGUUUGACUGAAGCAUGGGGGCAGCCUGAAUGGGGAGUCCCAAGGCCCUGGCCCUGGGCCUGAGAGGAAUGCUGUCCUCCUUCUCUCCUUGUGUGGGCCAGGGUGCCUCCUCAUCCUCAAGCAAUGCCCCAAAGCUGCUCCAACAGACUAGCCUGCUCUUAGGGGUGCUGAACCCUAUGUGGUCACAGGGAACAAGCAGAGUGACAGCCUCUCCUACCCCUGGCCGUUGUUGACAACAGAGGACAGUGUCCUGGGGAGCAAAAGGAUGUCAGGGAGAUGGGAGACCAGGGGCCCAGAAAUGCCAGGCCAGGCUGGGCGGCCUGCUCGGGAAGGAGUCUGAGCUCCCUCCUGCCCUCAGUGGGCACCUGGAAGGAGGUUUUCGGGUGAUCAGAUUUGUGUUUCAAUCAGGUAACUAACUCUAGUCGGAGUGUGAGGCUGGCGCCACGUAUCUUUUAGGCUUUCUCCGAAUGGUUCUGUUCCAACCACAGAAAGCCCAGGCUUAUGCUGGGAGACCCUGUGGUGGGGCGCAAACUCCAGCACAUACACUUCAGAUGUAGCCUUCUUACUUUUGCAUGGCAUUCUUCUCCCUCUCCCUUCCUUCGGCAUUUACUGUCACUUCUUUUGUUUAUUAUUGCCACCUAGACUUAAGGUCUCCAAGGCUGGAGGCAAGCUGCUAGUUUUCUAAAUAUGGUUGAACAUUCUGGAUGUUCAGAACUGUUUUGUUUCUUGGAGGGUGUUGGAGGUGCCGAUCUCGGUGGAAAGAUCUCAGACACAACUCUGGGGCCUCUCUGAGGCAGCUAGGUGUUUGUUCUUUUCCUAGGAAUGGGCCUCUGGUUUGGGCAGCUCUGGGCACCCAGAAACCUUCAGUUGUAAUAAAGAAGCACAAAGCAAACCAGCAUUCCAACGCGAGCCACAUUCUCCUUCUGCAUCCUGUCCCCACCCCCUCCCCAGCUUUCCCAUUUGCCAUGCUGGCUGGCUCAGGGGCUGCAAAAGGGACUUUUAUUUCCCCAGAAAAACAGAACAAAACAAAAAUCCUGAACACACUCGCACACACAUAAAUGCGACUGCGUCUGUAACCAGGACUGAGGCUGGACGCUCUGCCACCUGGCCUCUGUAGGACACAGACAGAGAUGUGCCAUGGUUGGCUUGCUCUUCAGACUGUGGACUCUGGAUGUGACAAGGAGUCCUCCGAGCCCAAGUUUUGGUCCACAUUUCAGUCACUUCUGUGUGUGUGUGAAUACGGCCAAGGGACAGCAACAAUGCUGCUGGAUGGGUGAUGGAGAGUUUUUAAAGGAGAGGAAACAAAAUGGAGGAGGGUCCUCCAGGUGGGACCAAAACAUGACAUGGUGUAGCAGGCUGGGAGUGGGUCCUGUCUGCUUGCCCCGGCACCUGUACUCCCACUGCACAACCAACGUGCCUGGCUUCAUUCAUUACAUCACCACACAUGCCAUAAUUGUACAGGAUGGGGUUAGAACUGUGUCUGUGUGCAUAUAAAUAAACAUUGCAGCCUGGCAUCCAAUAACCACUUCCUGUCGAGCAGCAUUUCCCCUAAUAUAGUGGAACUAAUUGCACCUCAACUCUCCUCCAGGGUUUCCAAAUGUCAACAAAAACGUAUUUCCCCCUUUCCUGUCCAGUUUAAAGGUUAUUCCUAAAAAGCAGCAGUCAACGUAUUUUUGAUUUUUUGAGACUGAGAAAAUUAUUUACCAGGAACACACAAAUUAUUUGUUUUACUCUGUACUACUCACUUAUUGACACAAGAUCACUGGAAAAGCCACCUCAGAACAAAUGGAGGAUUAGGUUAAAACUUAUUUUUUUAUUUAUUUAUUUUUUUACAACCAUUGGGAUUACUGAUGUUAGGGAAAUUGUAGAUAAAACAAACUCAAGGUCAUUCAGUUUGUUACAUAUUAGUUAAAUAUUACUGUUUUAUACAAAACAAAAACAGAUACUCCUUAGGUUAAAAAAAUUGGCGACUUUUUCCUGUGCAACUUUUAUCUCAAGUGGAAGGCGAUUCUAAUUUUAUCUCGGUUCAAUAAGCAGAUUACAAAAAACCAUGAGGCCAAAGCUGUUUACUUUUCCCUACAAUUCUCUGAGCUGCUGAAGGAAAGAGAAUCACCUUGAAUCUAGCAUUUUCUGAGCACACUAAAACAGCCAGAUCCCUUAGACCCAUCUGGAAAGAAAUCAAUUACAUUUAUGUGUUAGUUUAAUGUGAAAUUAUUUUAUUUUCAUUGUAUUUUCUUUCAGACUAUUGGGGAGGAAGAAAAAAAAAAGUACAGCAGGAGAAAGACAGGCUUUGGUUCCUCACCGCCCAUUUUCUCUCCAGGUUUUUCUUGGCUUUUGGCGUUUGCUCUUAAAUUUUUUAAAAAUCUUUUUUUGUUUGAAAAAUAUACAAAAUGUGUAUUUCAAAUAUAAAAAAAUUGUGUUUUGAACAUGAGAAAAUUUUAGAUCCACAAUACAUUUUGACAAAAAUAUUAUUA
Rhinolophus ferrumequinum (greater horseshoe bat) is the source of this 5038-nucleotide long non-coding RNA. RefSeq lists it as uncharacterized. The record is from RefSeq and is a predicted model, not a curated record. The transcript is spliced from 3 exons. NCBI's taxonomy places the organism in Eukaryota, Metazoa, Chordata, Mammalia, Chiroptera, Rhinolophidae.